AAUAAGUGCAGCCAUGAGUUUUCGCGCUCAACUUUGAUCGUCCAUCUUAUUUGAAUUUUUUUCAUAAUUAGCAUUUUUGUUGUUAUAAGAUGAUAAAACAUAAAUAGUACUUUACUCGUGACUUAUGUUUUAAUUUUUUUCAAAAAAUUUUCAAAUAAGAUGAAUUGUUAAAGUUGAGCGCGGAAAACCAUGGCUGCACUUAUU
Molecule: microRNA precursor, 204 nt
Organism: Oryza rufipogon (brownbeard rice)
Lineage: Eukaryota; Viridiplantae; Streptophyta; Magnoliopsida; Poales; Poaceae
Rfam family: MIR812 microRNA precursor family
Source: Rfam